GGAGGAAAGCAGGGGAUCGAAAGACCUUGCGCUAAAGGAGCGGCCGAUGUCUGAUUAGCUAGUUGGUGGGGUAAAGGCUUACCAAGGCAACGAUCAGUAGUUGGUCUGAGAGGACGA
This 117-nucleotide ribosomal RNA is filed under the name uncultured ammonia-oxidizing bacterium. RNAcentral's name for it is "partial 16S ribosomal RNA". It matches the Rfam family "Bacterial small subunit ribosomal RNA", at positions 198 to 303 of the family's 1533-position model. The record is from RNAcentral.